This 430-nucleotide ribosomal RNA is filed under the name uncultured bacterium. Its description in RNAcentral is "bacterial SSU rRNA". It matches the Rfam family "Bacterial small subunit ribosomal RNA", at positions 355 to 776 of the family's 1533-position model. The record is from RNAcentral.
UGGGGAAUUUUGCGCAAUGGGCGAAAGCCUGACGCAGCAACGCCGCGUGGAGGAUGAAGGUGCUCUGCAUUGUAAACUCCUGUCGGCCGGGAAGAAUCGGCGGGGUGCUAAUCAGCCCCGUUUUGACUGUACCGGCAAAGGAAGCCCCGGCUAACUCCGUGCCAGCAGCCGCGGGAAUACGGAGGGGGCAAGCGUUACUCGGAAUUAUUGGGCGUAAAGGGCGCGUAGGCGGUCUCGUGCGUCAGAGGUGAAAUCCCCGGGCUUAACCCGGGAACUGCCCCUGAUACGGCGGGACUUGAGUCCGGGAGAGGGGAGCAGAAUUCCCAGUGUAGCGGUGAAAUGCGUAGAUAUUGGGAGGAAUACCAGUGGCGAAGGCGGCUCCCUGGACCGGUACUGACGCUGAGGCGCGAAAGCGUGGGUAGCAAACAGG